AUUUAUAUAGUUUAAUAAAAACAUUACAUUUUCAAUGUAAAAUUGAACAUUUCUUCUUUAAAUA
This 64-nucleotide transfer RNA is filed under the name Brentidae sp. GENSP01. RNAcentral describes it as "tRNA-Glu". The record is from RNAcentral. Lineage: Eukaryota; Metazoa; Arthropoda; Insecta; Coleoptera; Brentidae.